This 460-nucleotide ribosomal RNA is filed under the name uncultured bacterium. RNAcentral's name for it is "partial 16S ribosomal RNA". It matches the Rfam family "Bacterial small subunit ribosomal RNA", at positions 338 to 795 of the family's 1533-position model. The record is from RNAcentral.
CCUACGGGUGGCAGCAGUGAGGAAUAUUGGUCAAUGGGCGCGAGCCUGAACCAGCCAAGUCGCGUGAAGGAUGACUGCCCUACGGGUUGUAAACUUCUUUUAUAAAGGAAUACAGUGAGGCACGUGUGCCUCUUUGUAUGUACUUUAUGAAUAAGGAUCGGCUAACUCCGUGCCAGCAGCCGCGGUAAUACGGAGGAUCCGAGCGUUAUCCGGAUUUAUUGGGUUUAAAGGGAGCGUAGAUGGGUUGUUAAGUCAGUUGUGAAAGUUUGCGGCUCAACCGUAAAAUUGCAAUUGAUACUGGCAGUCUUGAGUGCAGUUGAGGUAGGCGGAAUUCGUGGUGUAGCGGUGAAAUGCUUAGAUAUCACGAAGAACCCCGAUUGCGAAGGCAGCUUACUAAACUGUGACUGACAUUGAUGCUCGAAAGUGUGGGUAUCAAACAGGAUUAGAUACCCGAGUAGUC